CUACGGCCAUAUCACGUCGAAACACCGGUUGCCGUACGAUCGCCGAAGAUAAGAAAUGUCGAGCCUGAUCAGUACCUAGAUGGGUGACCGCUUCGGAAUACCAGGUACUGUAAG
Molecule: non-coding RNA, 114 nt
Organism: Acanthosepion pharaonis
Lineage: Eukaryota; Metazoa; Mollusca; Cephalopoda; Sepiida; Sepiidae
Source: the annotation of a GenBank genome assembly